GCCGCCUUAGCUCAGUAGGUAGAGCGUUUGCAUGGUAAGCAAAAGGUCACCAGUUCAAUCCUGGUAGGUGGCUCUA
RNAcentral lists this transfer RNA (76 nucleotides) under Enterococcus sp. 6C8_DIV0013. Its description in RNAcentral is "tRNA-Thr". It matches the Rfam family "tRNA". Rfam says of the family: Transfer RNA (tRNA) molecules are approximately 80 nucleotides in length. Their secondary structure includes four short double-helical elements and three loops (D, anti-codon, and T loops). The record is from RNAcentral. Lineage: Bacteria; Bacillati; Bacillota; Bacilli; Lactobacillales; Enterococcaceae.